GCUAAGGUGGCAGAGCCCGGUUACUGCAAGAGACCUAAGUCCUUUCCACAGAGGUUCAAGUCCUCUCCUCAGCU
This 74-nucleotide transfer RNA is filed under the name Atherina boyeri (big-scale sand smelt). RNAcentral's name for it is "tRNA-Leu". It matches the Rfam family "tRNA". From Rfam's summary of the family: Transfer RNA (tRNA) molecules are approximately 80 nucleotides in length. Their secondary structure includes four short double-helical elements and three loops (D, anti-codon, and T loops). The record is from RNAcentral. Lineage: Eukaryota; Metazoa; Chordata; Actinopteri; Atheriniformes; Atherinidae.